GAUGAACGCUGGCGGCGUGCCUAAUACAUGCAAGUCGAGCGAACGGACGAGAAGCUUGCUUCUCUGAUGUUAGCGGCGGACGGGUGAGUAACACGUGGAUAACCUACCUAUAAGACUGGGAUAACUUCGGGAAACCGGAGCUAAUACCGGAUAAUAUUUUGAACCGCAUGGUUCAAAAGUGAAAGACGGUCUUGCUGUCACUUAUAGAUGGAUCCGCGCUGCAUUAGCUAGUUGGUAAGGUAACGGCUUACCAAGGCAACGAUGCAUAGCCGACCUGAGAGGGUGAUUGGCCACACUGGAACUGAGACACGGUCCAGACUCCUACGGGAGGCAGCAGUAGGGAAUCUUCCGCAAUGGGCGAAAGCCUGACGGAGCAACGCCGCGUGAGUGAUGAAGGUCUUCGGAUCGUAAAACUCUGUUAUUAGGGAAGAACAUAUGUGUAAGUAACUGUGCACAUCUUGACGGUACCUAAUCAGAAAGCCACGGCUAACUACGUGCCAGCAGCCGCGGUAAUACGUAGGUGGCAAGCGUUAUCCGGAAUUAUUGGGCGUAAAGCGCGCGUAGGCGGUUUUUUAAGUCUGAUGUGAAAGCCCACGGCUCAACCGUGGAGGGUCAUUGGAAACUGGAGAACUUGAGUGCAGAAGAGGAAAGUGGAAUUCCAUGUGUAGCGGUGAAAUGCGCAGAGAUAUGGAGGAACACCAGUGGCGAAGGCGACUUUCUGGUCUGUAACUGACGCUGAUGUGCGAAAGCGUGGGGAUCAAACAGGAUUAGAUACCCUGGUAGUCCACGCCGUAAACGAUGAGUGCUAAGUGUUAGGGGGUUUCCGCCCCUUAGUGCUGCAGCUAACGCAUUAAGCACUCCGCCUGGGGAGUACGACCGCAAGGUUGAAACUCAAAGGAAUUGACGGGGACCCGCACAAGCGGUGGAGCAUGUGGUUUAAUUCGAAGCAACGCGAAGAACCUUACCAAAUCUUGACAUCCUUUGACAACUCUAGAGAUAGAGCCUUCCCCUUCGGGGGACAAAGUGACAGGUGGUGCAUGGUUGUCGUCAGCUCGUGUCGUGAGAUGUUGGGUUAAGUCCCGCAACGAGCGCAACCCUUAAGCUUAGUUGCCAUCAUUAAGUUGGGCACUCUAAGUUGACUGCCGGUGACAAACCGGAGGAAGGUGGGGAUGACGUCAAAUCAUCAUGCCCCUUAUGAUUUGGGCUACACACGUGCUACAAUGGACAAUACAAAGGGCAGCGAAACCGCGAGGUCAAGCAAAUCCCAUAAAGUUGUUCUCAGUUCGGAUUGUAGUCUGCAACUCGACUACAUGAAGCUGGAAUCGCUAGUAAUCGUAGAUCAGCAUGCUACGGUGAAUACGUUCCCGGGUCU
RNAcentral lists this ribosomal RNA (1372 nucleotides) under uncultured bacterium. Its description in RNAcentral is "bacterial SSU rRNA". It matches the Rfam family "Bacterial small subunit ribosomal RNA", at positions 28 to 1381 of the family's 1533-position model. The record is from RNAcentral.